CUGAAACAGAAAACAAAUUAUAUUUCUUCAAAUUGUUCUUUGGACCAAUAACAUACUGUGACAAGGCAAGAUUUUCUAACGGGAAGUCCACAGAUGUCUGUAAUUUUUGUUUCCACCUGCCAUUGUACGAAAAAUGUUUCAGAUGCACUAAAAGCACAGGUGGUAACUUCC
This 171-nucleotide non-coding RNA is filed under the name Pongo abelii (Sumatran orangutan). Lineage: Eukaryota; Metazoa; Chordata; Mammalia; Primates; Hominidae. The record is from RNAcentral.